CCCUUAGAUGUUCUGGGCCGCACGCGCGCUACACUGAUGCAUUCAACGAGUUUCUUCCUGGUCCGAGAGGAAUGGGUAACCUUUUGAAAGUGCAUCGUGAUAGGGAUAGACUAUUGCAAUUAUUUGUCUUCAACGAGGAAUUCCUAGUAGACGUAGUUCAUCAGACUGCAUCGAUUACGUCCCUGCCCUUUGUACACACCGCCCGUCGCUCCUACCGAUUGGGUGUGCUGGUGAAAUGUUCGGAUCGGCCGUUUGUCGCGGUUUCCGCGUCAUGUGGCUGAGAAGUUCAUUAAACCCUCCCACCUAGAGGAAGGAGAAGUCGUAACA
This 327-nucleotide ribosomal RNA is filed under the name uncultured eukaryote. RNAcentral describes it as "partial 18S ribosomal RNA". It matches the Rfam family "Eukaryotic small subunit ribosomal RNA", at positions 1470 to 1796 of the family's 1831-position model. The record is from RNAcentral.